AUGAAGACACAUGCUCCUACUUUAUUCAUGUUUCUGUGGCUGCAGCUGGAUGGGGUAAUCCAAGGUGAGCAGGUGGAGCAGCAUCCUUCCACCCUGAGAGUCCAGGAGGGUGCCAGCGCUGUCAUCAACUGCACUUACACAGACAGUGUCUUGUCCUACUUCCCUUGGUAUAAGCAAGGGCCUGGAGAGCAUCCUCAGCUCAUUAUUGACAUUCGUUCAACUGUGGAAAGAAAGCAGGAGCAAAGACUGAUCCUUUUUCAGGAUAAGAAAGCCAAACACCUCUCCCUGCACAUCACAGACACCCGGCCUGGAGACUCUGCCAUGUACUUCUGUGCUGCAACGGGCACUGGGAGUAACCAGCUCACUUUUGGGAAAGGCACCAAACUCUCCCUCAUCCCAAAUAUCAAGGACCCAAAACCAGCAGUGUACCAGCUGAGAGAUCCUCAAUCCAAGAAUAGUAGCAUCUGCCUGUUCACCGACUUCGAUUCUCAAAUCAAUGUGUCAAAGGACAUGGCAUCUGAAGUGUUCAUCUCUGACAAGACUGUGCUGGACAUGAAGUCUAUGGACUCCAAGAGCAACGGAGUGAUUGCCUGGAGCGACCAAAAUAGUCUCAACUGUAAAGAUGCCAUCAGAGAGAAUGCCUCCUACCCCAGUUCAGACAUUCCCUGUGAUGCCAAAUUGAUAGAGAAAAGCUUCGAAACAGAUAUGAACCUAAACUUUCGAAACCUGUCAGUGAUGGGACUCCGAAUCCUGCUCCUGAAAGUGGCUGGAUUUAACCUGCUCAUGACGCUGCGGCUGUGGUCCAGUUGAGAUCGGCAAGACAGAAAGAGGCUGAACUCCCAAGAUACUUCCUCUUCACCCCCCCUCUCCUUCUUCAAGCAAAAAGGAGCCCUCCCACCCCAUACCGAAGGCUCUGGGUCUGACUGGUUCACAAUCCCGCCGCCGCUGACUGGAUCUCCUGACUUUGGGAUGGAGAUUGCUGGUCAGCUGCUAAGAGCUACUGUACCUGCAGCUGCUGGCCAUUCACAGGAAAGGCAGGGGCUGCGACUUCUCCUGGAUAUGAAGACCCCCCACUUUCCCACCCUCCACCACCCCUCCCCAUCCCAUGACAGAUUCCCAGUAGAAUCUCUUGGACCGCACACAGCUCCUGGAGAAUGUUGUAAAGAACAUGUUUUUGUUUUGUUUUGUUUUGUUUUAAGCAUCCAUAAAGAAAUCCACAUUACCCUUUCCUCAAGGUGUAGAAAAGAUUACCUCAUUGUCUAGACCUUCCCUGCUACCGUGUGUAUCUGAGCCACAUUGUGUAUCGUCCUGCUGCCCAUGACUUCAUUAAAGAUGACUCAGA
Molecule: non-coding RNA, 1342 nt
Organism: Onychomys torridus (southern grasshopper mouse)
Lineage: Eukaryota; Metazoa; Chordata; Mammalia; Rodentia; Cricetidae
Source: the annotation of a RefSeq genome assembly